Molecule: ribosomal RNA, 492 nt
Filed under: uncultured bacterium
Lineage: Bacteria
Description: bacterial SSU rRNA
Rfam family: Bacterial small subunit ribosomal RNA
Source: RNAcentral
AAAGGAAUUGACGGGGACCCGCACAAGCGGUGGAGCAUGUGGUUUAAUUCGAAGCAACGCGAAGAACCUUACCAAAUCUUGACAUCCUCUGAACGCUAUAGAGAUAUAGUUUCCCUUCGGGGCAGAGUGACAGGUGGUGCAUGGUUGUCGUCAGCUCGUGUCGUGAGAUGUUGGGUUAAGUCCCGCAACGAGCGCAACCCUUAAUAUUAGUUGCCAUCAUUUAGUUGGGCACUCUAAUGUGACUGCCGGUGACAAACCGGAGGAAGGUGGGGAUGACGUCAAAUCAUCAUGCCCCUUAUGAUUUGGGCUACACACGUGCUACAAUGGGCAGGAACAAAGGGCAGCUAAACCGCGAGGUCAUGCGAAUCCCAUAAAACUGUUCUCAGUUCGGAUUGGAGUCUGCAACUCGACUCCAUGAAGCUGGAAUCGCUAGUAAUCGUAGGUCAGCAUACUACGGUGAAUACGUUCCCGGGUCUUGUACACACCGCCCGU